Molecule: ribosomal RNA, 352 nt
Filed under: Chrysochus chinensis
Lineage: Eukaryota; Metazoa; Arthropoda; Insecta; Coleoptera; Chrysomelidae
Description: SSU rRNA
Rfam family: Eukaryotic small subunit ribosomal RNA
Source: RNAcentral
AGUGGAGCCUGCGGCUUAAUUUGACUCAACACGGGAAACCUCACCAGGCCCGGACACCGGAAGGAUUGACAGAUUGAGAGCUCUUUCUUGAUUCGGUGGGUGGUGGUGCAUGGCCGUUCUUAGUUGGUGGAGCGAUUUGUCUGGUUAAUUCCGAUAACGAACGAGACUCUAGCCUACUAACUAGGCGUAUUUCGACAUCCCAAAGGCCCGCCGGUUCGGGGUUUCGACCUCUGUUCCGCGCGCGGUUUUUACUGUCGGCGUACAAACAAUUCUUCUUAGAGGGACAGGCGGCUUCUAGCCGCACGAGAUUGAGCAAUAACAGGUCUGUGAUGCCCUUAGAUGUUCUGGGCCG